This is a non-coding RNA of Pelobates cultripes (western spadefoot toad), 244 nucleotides long. The record is from the annotation of a GenBank genome assembly. Lineage: Eukaryota; Metazoa; Chordata; Amphibia; Anura; Pelobatidae.
GGGUGACUAGUGACAGAGUGAGGAAGGGGGUGACACAGUGACAGAGUGAGGGAGGGGGUGACUAGUAACAGAGUGAAGGAGGUGGUGACUGUCACUAGUCACCCCAUCCCUCCCUCUGUCACUAAUCACCACCUCCCUCACUCUGUCACUAGUCACCCCUUCCCUCCCUCACUCGGUCACUAGUCACCCCUUCCCUCCCUCACUCUGUCACUAGUCACCCCCUCCCUCAGUCACUAGUCACACC